Rosa rugosa (rugosa rose) is the source of this 423-nucleotide long non-coding RNA. RefSeq lists it as uncharacterized. Lineage: Eukaryota; Viridiplantae; Streptophyta; Magnoliopsida; Rosales; Rosaceae. The transcript is spliced from 2 exons. The record is from RefSeq and is a predicted model, not a curated record.
UCUCUCUCUCUCAGGUCUCUCUCUUGGAGAGUUCUCUCACAGAUCUAGCUCUUCCUCAGGUAAGACAUGGUUUGAAUUUUCUUUCUUUACCAUUUCUUAUAGAUCCUAAUCAUGCUGAUUCUAAUAGGAUGUUUCGACCUACUUCUAUUCCAGUUUUUUUUCAAUUUCGAUUCGAAUCACAACAUGUCUUCCACCUUAAGCCAUAACCCUUUGGAUCCAACACUUCGAACUCGCAGUAUCAGAGAAGAAAUUCUGCGAACAAGUACUGGGAGGCAUAAUGGAGGACUUGUUGUCCAGAUCUUUAGUUCAGUGGAUAUGAAAAGUACCUGUUCUUUCCCACGAAGUCGAAUCAUAAAUUGGGUUUCUUGGAGCUGGGCUAAUGGAUCCAACAAGGAAAUCCCUAUUCUUUCCUUUAUUGAAGCA